GAUCCUGGCUCAGGAUAAACGCUAGCUACAGGCUUAACACAUGCAAGUCGAGGGGCAUCAGUUUGGUUUGCUUGCAAACCAAAGCUGGCGACCGGCGCACGGGUGAGUAACACGUAUCCAACCUGCCUCAUACUCGGGGAUAGCCUUUCGAAAGAAAGAUUAAUAUCCGAUAGCAUAUAUUUCCCGCAUGGGUUUUAUAUUAAAGAAAUUCGGUAUGAGAUGGGGAUGCGUUCCGAUUAGUUUGUUGGCGGGG
This 253-nucleotide ribosomal RNA is filed under the name uncultured bacterium. RNAcentral describes it as "partial 16S ribosomal RNA". It matches the Rfam family "Bacterial small subunit ribosomal RNA", at positions 15 to 257 of the family's 1533-position model. The record is from RNAcentral.